ACGGGGAGCCAGCAGUGGGGAAUUUUCCCCAAUGGGCGAAACCCUGAGGGACAAAUACCGCGGGAGGGAGGACGCCCUAUGGGUUGUAACCCUCUUUUUUCAGGGAGGAAUAAAUGACGUGUACCUGAAGAAUAAGCAUCGGCUAACUCCGUGCCAGCAGCCGCGGUAAGACGGAGGAUGCAAGUGUUAUCCGGAAUCACUGGGCGUAAAGCGUCUGUAGGUGGUUUAAUAAGUCAACUGUUAAAUCUUGAGGCUCAACCUCAAAAUCGCAGUCGAAACUAUUAGACUAGAGUAUAGUAGGGGUAAAGGGAAUUUCCAGUGGAGCGGUGAAAUGCGUAGAGAUUGGAAAGAACACCGAUGGCGAAGGCACUUUACUGGGCUAUUACUAACACUCAGAGACGAAAGCUAGGGUAGCAAAUGGGAUUAGAUACCCCAGUAGUCCUAGCCGUCAACAAUGGAUACUAGAUGUUGAACAGAUCGACCU
Molecule: ribosomal RNA, 484 nt
Filed under: uncultured bacterium
Lineage: Bacteria
Description: bacterial SSU rRNA
Rfam family: Bacterial small subunit ribosomal RNA
Source: RNAcentral